Molecule: ribosomal RNA, 374 nt
Filed under: uncultured bacterium
Lineage: Bacteria
Description: bacterial SSU rRNA
Rfam family: Bacterial small subunit ribosomal RNA
Source: RNAcentral
GGAGGUGGCGAGCGUUGUCCGAAGUUACUGGGCGUAAAGCGCGCGUAGGCGGGUAAGUAAGUGAGGGGUGAAAGGCUGAGGCUCAACCUCAUGUUUGUCCUCUCAUACUGCUUAUCUUGAGUGAGGCAGGGAGAAGUGGAAUGGCUGGUGUAGCGGUGAAAUGCGUAGAUAUCAGUCGGAACACCGGUGGCGAAGGCGGCUUCUUGGGCCUUAACUGACGCUGAGGCGCGAAAGCUGGGGGAGCGAACGGGAUUAGAUACCCCGGUAGUCCCAGCCGUAAACGAUGGAUACUAGGUGUCGGGGGUAUCGACCCCUCCGGUGCCGCAGCUAACGCAUUAAGUAUCCCGCCUGGGGAGUACGGCCGCAAGGUUGAA